RNAcentral lists this unclassified non-coding RNA (284 nucleotides) under Hevea brasiliensis (rubber tree). Lineage: Eukaryota; Viridiplantae; Streptophyta; Magnoliopsida; Malpighiales; Euphorbiaceae. The record is from RNAcentral.
GGCUUCUGUACUGGAGCUGUGGGAAAUGGCUCGGGUUCUUCAGGCUUCUGUACUGGAGCUGUCGGGUACGGGUCAGUGCAUAAAGUCAAGGUGGAUGUCACCAAUAAAUUCUUCUCUAAAGCCAAAGCAAGUUUUGAGAGACUUUUGUAUGUACUUUUUGGAGUCAGCAAUAUCUCGCAAAGCCUCUGCAAUGUAAAAGGAGGACCCUCUAUAAAUCCUAAAAGAGCUUCAUCCAACCUUCUUACUGUAUCUUGGUAUGUUUGCCCCGCUAAAGAAGUCUGUUG